Molecule: ribosomal RNA, 482 nt
Filed under: uncultured bacterium
Lineage: Bacteria
Description: partial 16S ribosomal RNA
Rfam family: Bacterial small subunit ribosomal RNA
Source: RNAcentral
AUUGAACGCUGGCGGCAUGCUUUACACAUGCAAGUCGAACGGUAACAGGCCGCAAGGUGUUGUCGAGUGGCGAACGGGUGAGUAAUGCAUCGGAACGUGCCCAGUCGUGGGGGAUAACUACUCGAAAGAGUAGCUAAUACCGCAUACGAUCUAUGGAUGAAAGCGGGAGACCGAAAGGCCUCGCGCGAUUGGAGCGGCAGAUGUCAGAUUAGGUAGUUGGUGGGGUAAAGGCUCACCAAGCCAACGAUCUGUAGCUGGUCUGAGAGGACGACCAGCCACACUGGGACUGAGACACGGCCGAGACUCCGACGGGAGGCAGCAGUGGGGAAUUUUGGACAAUGGGCGCAAGCCUGAUCCAGCAAUGCCGCGUGCAGGAAGAAGGCCUUCGGGUUGUAAACUGCUGUUGUACGGAACGAAACGACUCUGGUUAAUACCCGGAGCUAAUGACGGUACCGUAAGAAUAAGCACCGGCUAACUACGUG